RNA transcript from Sitophilus oryzae (rice weevil), 1692 nucleotides. It is a transcript of the gene named RNA-binding protein 1, with no coding region annotated. NCBI's taxonomy places the organism in Eukaryota, Metazoa, Arthropoda, Insecta, Coleoptera, Curculionidae. The record is from RefSeq and is a predicted model, not a curated record. The transcript has 5 exons.
GUUGCGCUAUCGUUGCGCAUUGCUAGAAUCGGCGAUCGGCGUUCGGCCAUAUUUGUGUUGAAAGUUGAAAGUGAAAAGUGAAUUAUUUUUAAUUCAUUAAAAUCAUUUUACAUAAUUUUUUUUUCCAUUGCCAUUAACAAUUGGUAUAUUUUCUACUCCAACGUACUUUUGUUUUAUAAACGUUUACCGAAAUCAGCCAACAAUGUCUCGUUAUCGGGAAUGGGAUAUUACCUGCAAAGUGUAUGUGGGAAAUUUGGGAUCGUCAGCAAGCAAACAUGAAAUUGAGAGUGCAUUUAGCAAAUAUGGACCUCUGAGAAAUGUGUGGGUUGCAAGAAAUCCUCCUGGCUUUGCAUUUGUUGAAUUUGAAGACUCUAGAGAUGCUGAGGAUGCUGUUAGAGGUUUAGAUGGAACUCGCUGCUGUGGUGCAAGAAUUAAAGUUGAAAUGUCAAGUGGCAGAUCUAGACGCGGUGGUGGAAACAGAAGGGGCAGAUAUUCUUCAAGGUCAAGAGACAGGGUGUCGCCAGCGCUGGCGCUGUUCUACCACCAUCUCAUCCCCCCCUGAGACAACACAUCACCCCUCUGUCCCCAAGGCCUUCUCUGACAACACUCAACAUCUCAAAAAAACAUCGCCCGCGCCGCCAAAACGCCCAAAAACCAAAAUUAAACGUCGCAACCCAUCAUCAGUUCAGCAACAACCGCCGGGCCUCAUCGGGUUCUUUUACAAAAAUUAAUGUGGCAACAUUGUCCUUUUGCAUCAAUUCGACAAAGCUGCACAACGACCACUACUCUCCCAAAUUCGGCAACGCUGCCUGCACCCUACUACUUUAAAAGCUGACCGACUUGGAAUCUGCCGCUACGUCUGGCAACAGGGCACCACCGAAUUGUUACACACAAUCAACCAAUGAAAUUUCAGCUUUAAUUAUCUGCUUUCUACUCAACAACAAGUUAAAGUGGUCAAGAUCGCCAAGACGCUCGAGAUCUCGAUCAAGAUCUCGCCGAUCUGAUUCACGUGAUCGAAGAAGCGAUUCUCGUGACAGACGCUAAAAAGGAUGAGAUUGUUUCUUUAUUAUGAUCUAAGUUCAAAAUGAUUACAAAAACAGAUUAAUCUAGACUUUGUAUAAAUUGCAAUUAUUGAUCAUUGUUAGAAUUAUUAUAUCAUUACUUUUUACAAUUUUGAUUUGCUUAUUUAAGCGUUAUUGUUAAAAAUACUAUCAAAUAUUACAUCUACUGUAAAUAUUACGUUGUAUUUUUGAAUAUUUUUUAUACACAUUGAAGUAUCAUGGGUAGCGAGAAAUUUAAAUCAAAUGUCUAGAAUAUUCUGUAUUUUUUGCAAUCUAUACAUAAAAAUCUUUAUAAAAUCCAUCUCCCAUGGAUAUAUCAAUACUUUUUCGUAUUUUUUAUUUAGAAAAAAAAUGUAUAAAAAUGUGUAUCUUUUUUCAUAUCUAUUUUAUAUUUAAAUGCUUUUUUAUUAAGUUUACUACUUACUACGAAGUGACCAUAAUUUUUAUCACCUGCUUAGUAGAUUAGAAAAGUAAAUGUCUCGAGAUAUUAUAUAAUUUAAUUAAUAACAGGAAAGAAUGAUAUUUUUCAUAUCAAACUGAUAAAAUAACUAUAUUGUAGCUUAACAAAACUUACAUGUUAUGUGGAUUAACUGUUUUCAGAUGCAAUAAAUGGUCUAUAAAUAAAAUAGAA